RNAcentral lists this ribosomal RNA (253 nucleotides) under uncultured bacterium. RNAcentral's name for it is "partial 16S ribosomal RNA". It matches the Rfam family "Bacterial small subunit ribosomal RNA", at positions 524 to 776 of the family's 1533-position model. The record is from RNAcentral.
UACGUAGGGGGCUAGCGUUGUCCGGAAUCAUUGGGCGUAAAGAGCGUGUAGGCGGCUCGGUAAGUCCGCUGUGAAAGUCCAGGGCUCAACCCUGGAAUGCCAGUGGAAACUGUCGAGCUAGAGUCCGGAAGAGGCGAGUGGAAUUCCUGGUGUAGCGGUGAAAUGCGCAGAUAUCAGGAGGAACACCAAUGGCGAAGGCAGCUCGCUGGGACGGUACUGACGCUGAGACGCGAAAGCCAGGGGAGCGAACGGG